UGNAAGUCGAGCGGAUGACGGGAGCUUGCUCCUUGAUUCAGCGGCGGACGGGUGAGUAAUGCCUAGGAAUCUGCCUGGUAGUGGGGGACAACGUUUCGAAAGGAACGCUAAUACCGCAUACGUCCUACGGGAGAAAGCAGGGGACCUUCGGGCCUUGCGCUAUCAGAUGAGCCUAGGUCGGAUUAGCUAGUUGGUGAGGUAAUGGCUCACCAAGGCGACGAUCCGUAACUGGUCUGAGAGGAUGAUCAGUCACACUGGAACUGAGACACGGUCCAGACUCCUACGGGAGGCAGCAGUGGGGAAUAUUGGACAAUGGGCGAAAGCCUGAUCCAGCCAUGCCGCGUGUGUGAAGAAGGUCUUCGGAUUGUAAAGCACUUUAAG
This 381-nucleotide ribosomal RNA is filed under the name Pseudomonas putida. RNAcentral describes it as "bacterial SSU rRNA". It matches the Rfam family "Bacterial small subunit ribosomal RNA", at positions 56 to 439 of the family's 1533-position model. Lineage: Bacteria; Pseudomonadati; Pseudomonadota; Gammaproteobacteria; Pseudomonadales; Pseudomonadaceae. The record is from RNAcentral.